AUAAAAUCCCAGUAAAAAGUUAUGAGCCAACAAAGUUCCGUUUUUCUAGACAAUUUUAACGCAACUUUGAGUGUUAAAAAGUCCCAUAAAACAUGUAAAAUCUCCAAAACGAAGUCCGCUCCGACAUAGCUCAAUUACUAAAGAGUUCUAUAAAAUUUAUUUCAAAUUGAUUUAUACAGUAGUUUUUUCAGAAAACGCUUUUUUCUGAAGCACUCUUCGUCUUUUUUUACGUACUCGUUUUGCGAUGAAUUGUCGUGCAUUUCACUCAAUAGCAUUCCCCCCGGCAGAAGCGCGGGGCGGAGCGGAGAAAGACGCUUAUACACACAUGCUUAUUUCCACAAUUUUUACGUUUUGCACGAUAUUUUGUCGUGCAACUGUGCAAAUUUUAGUGCAACUAUUUGUUUGUAUUGUUUUGGGCUCAGUCUGCUGCUGCGGCCCACGUCUUUCGUAUCGUAUGUGUGUAGGUAGACUAUUCUCCUAGCGCUUGUCGUACGUAAACAUUACACUGACCCCCGGCUAAAACUCUGGAUUUCGAUACUACCUUCUUUAUCUGUUUGACUUGGCACUGAACUUUGGACUUAGUAUUUUCGUUUGUGAUUGGAAUUGUUGGUUUGAGUGGAAUAGUGGAUACUAUUUCAGUGAAGUGGUUUUCAUUGAGUGCAAAACACGUGUGGAAAACAAUAAGAAACAAGAAACAAUGGAUUCAAAAACUUGGCGAAUGGGGCAAAAAGGGCGUCUAGAACUAAGCGCCCGCAGGAAGAAGCUCAAAAGAUCAGCGAGAGGAUAUUUCAUGAAUAAAGAAAAUAUUCCUCCAGUGCAUGAUACGUUCCAACAAUCACUUCAAGAAGCAAUUUCGCCGCCUUUGUCGCAUUUGCCGCAAACACCGCGGUCGGCGUUUUUGAGAAUGUAAACAAACAGAAGAAAGCAACCUUAUUUCUAAAGGAAUAAAGUAUUAUUUUUAUA
RNAcentral lists this long non-coding RNA (963 nucleotides) under Helicoverpa zea (corn earworm). Its description in RNAcentral is "uncharacterized LOC124633419, transcript variant X2". Lineage: Eukaryota; Metazoa; Arthropoda; Insecta; Lepidoptera; Noctuidae. The record is from RNAcentral.